GGAGGCCUUAGCUUAAUUUAAAGUGUCUGAGUUGCAUUCAGGAGAUGUAGUAGUAGAUUACAGGUCUUCAUUAAUU
RNAcentral lists this transfer RNA (76 nucleotides) under Cyrtopodion fortmunroi (Fort Munro sandstone gecko). RNAcentral's name for it is "tRNA-Ala". Lineage: Eukaryota; Metazoa; Chordata; Lepidosauria; Squamata; Gekkonidae. The record is from RNAcentral.